AAUAGAUACCCUGGUAGUCCAUGCCGUAAACGUUGGGAACUAGGUGUGGGUCUCAUUCCACGAGAUCCGUGCCGCAGCUAACGCAUUAAGUUCCCCGCCUGGGGAGUACGGCCGCAAGGCUAAAACUCAAAGGAAUUGACGGGGGCCCGCACAAGCGGCGGAGCAUGCGGAUUAAUUCGAUGCAACGCGAAGAACCUUACCAAGGCUUGACAUACACCGGAAUCACUCAGAGAUGGGUGCGUCUUCGGACUGGUGUACAGGUGGUGCAUGGUUGUCGUCAGCUCGUGUCGUGAGAUGUUGGGUUAAGUCCCGCAACGAGCGCAACCCUCGUUCUAUGUUGCCAGCACGUCAUGGUGGGGACUCAUAGGAGACUGCCGGGGUCAACUCGGAGGAAGGUGGGGAUGACGUCAAAUCAUCAUGCCCCUUAUGUCUUGGGCUUCACGCAUGCUACAAUGGCCGGUACAGAGGGCUGCGAAACCGCGAGGUGGAGCGAAUCCCAAAAAACCGGUCUCAGUUCGGAUUGGGGUCUG
RNAcentral lists this ribosomal RNA (530 nucleotides) under uncultured bacterium. Its description in RNAcentral is "bacterial SSU rRNA". It matches the Rfam family "Bacterial small subunit ribosomal RNA", at positions 777 to 1307 of the family's 1533-position model. The record is from RNAcentral.